AAUGGGCGCAAGCCUGAUCCAGCCAUGCCGCGUGGGUGAUGAAGGCCCUAGGGUCGUAAAGCUCUUUCGCCAGGGAUGAUAAUGACAGUACCGGGUAAAGAAACCCCGGCUAACUCCGUGCCAGCAGCCGCGGUAAUACGGAGGGGGUUAGCGUUGUUCGGAAUUACUGGGCGUAAAGCGCGCGUAGGCGGAUUAGUCAGUUAGAGGUGAAAUCCCGGGGCUCAACCCCGGAACUGCCUUUAAUACUGCUAGUCUUGAGUUCGAGAGAGGUGAGUGGAAUUCCGAGUGUAGAGGUGAAAUUCGUAGAUAUUCGGAGGAACACCAGUGGCGAAGGCGGCUCACUGGCUCGAUACUGACGCUGAGGUGCGAAAGUGUGGGGAGCAAACAGGAUU
Molecule: ribosomal RNA, 392 nt
Filed under: uncultured Gammaproteobacteria bacterium
Lineage: Bacteria; Pseudomonadati; Pseudomonadota; Gammaproteobacteria
Description: bacterial SSU rRNA
Rfam family: Bacterial small subunit ribosomal RNA
Source: RNAcentral